CCUACGGGAGGCAGCAGUGGGGAAUAUUGGACAAUGGGGGGAACCCUGAUCCAGCGACGCCGCGUGAGUGAAGAAGUAUUUCGGUAUGUAAAGCUCUAUCAGCAGGGAAGAAAGAAAUGACGGUACCUGACUAAGAAGCCCCGGCUAACUACGUUCCAGCAGCCGCGGGAAUACGUAGGGGGCAAGCGUUAUCCGGAUUUACUGGGUGUAAAGGGAGCGUAGACGGCGAUGCAAGUCUGAAGUGAAAGGCGGGGGCCCAACCCCCGGACUGCUUUGGAAACUGUAUGGCUGGAGUGCAGGAGAGGUAAGUGGAAGUCCUAGUGUAGCGGUGAGAUGCGUAGAUAUUAGGAGGAACACCAGUGGCGAAGGCGGCUUACUGGACUGUAACUGACGUUGAGGCUCGAAAGCGUGGGGAGCAAACAGGAUUAGAUACCCGAGUAGUC
This 443-nucleotide ribosomal RNA is filed under the name uncultured bacterium. RNAcentral's name for it is "partial 16S ribosomal RNA". It matches the Rfam family "Bacterial small subunit ribosomal RNA", at positions 338 to 795 of the family's 1533-position model. The record is from RNAcentral.